GAUGAACGCUGGCGGCGUGCUUAACACAUGCAAGUCGAACGAAGCACUCCGAGAUCUUCGGAAGGAAGAGUGACUGAGUGGCGGACGGGUGAGUAACGCGUGGGUAACCUGCCUUACAGAGGGGGAUAACAGUUGGAAACGGCUGCUAAUACCGCAUAAGCGCACGGAAUCGCAUGAUUCAGUGUGAAAAACUCAGGUGCUGUAAGAUGGACCCGCGUUGGAUUAGCUAGUUGGUGAGGUAACGGCCCACCAAGGCGACGAUCCAUAGCCGGCCUGAGAGGGUGACCGGCCACAUUGGGACUGAGACACGGCCCAA
This 316-nucleotide ribosomal RNA is filed under the name uncultured bacterium. RNAcentral describes it as "bacterial SSU rRNA". It matches the Rfam family "Bacterial small subunit ribosomal RNA", at positions 28 to 334 of the family's 1533-position model. The record is from RNAcentral.